This 2159-nucleotide ribosomal RNA is filed under the name Escherichia coli. Its description in RNAcentral is "partial 23S ribosomal RNA". It matches the Rfam family "Bacterial large subunit ribosomal RNA", at positions 657 to 2798 of the family's 2925-position model. The record is from RNAcentral. Lineage: Bacteria; Pseudomonadati; Pseudomonadota; Gammaproteobacteria; Enterobacterales; Enterobacteriaceae.
AUAGGGGAGCCGAAGGGAAACCGAGUCUUAACUGGGCGUUAAGUUGCAGGGUAUAGACCCGAAACCCGGUGAUCUAGCCAUGGGCAGGUUGAAGGUUGGGUAACACUAACUGGAGGACCGAACCGACUAAUGUUGAAAAAUUAGCGGAUGACUUGUGGCUGGGGGUGAAAGGCCAAUCAAACCGGGAGAUAGCUGGUUCUCCCCGAAAGCUAUUUAGGUAGCGCCUCGUGAAUUCAUCUCCGGGGGUAGAGCACUGUUUCGGCAAGGGGGUCAUCCCGACUUACCAACCCGAUGCAAACUGCGAAUACCGGAGAAUGUUAUCACGGGAGACACACGGCGGGUGCUAACGUCCGUCGUGAAGAGGGAAACAACCCAGACCGCCAGCUAAGGUCCCAAAGUCAUGGUUAAGUGGGAAACGAUGUGGGAAGGCCCAGACAGCCAGGAUGUUGGCUUAGAAGCAGCCAUCAUUUAAAGAAAGCGUAAUAGCUCACUGGUCGAGUCGGCCUGCGCGGAAGAUGUAACGGGGCUAAACCAUGCACCGAAGCUGCGGCAGCGACGCUGAUGCGUUGUUGGGUAGGGGAGCGUUCUGUAAGCCUGCGAAGGUGUGCUGUGAGGCAUGCUGGAGGUAUCAGAAGUGCGAAUGCUGACAUAAGUAACGAUAAAGCGGGUGAAAAGCCCGCUCGCCGGAAGACCAAGGGUUCCUGUCCAACGUUAAUCGGGGCAGGGUGAGUCGACCCCUAAGGCGAGGCCGAAAGGCGUAGUCGAUGGGAAACAGGUUAAUAUUCCUGUACUUGGUGUUACUGCGAAGGGGGGACGGAGAAGGCUAUGUUGGCCGGGCGACGGUUGUCCCGGUUUAAGCGUGUAGGCUGGUUUUCCAGGCAAAUCCGGAAAAUCAAGGCUGAGGCGUGAUGACGAGGCACUGCGGUGCUGAAGCAACAAAUGCCCUGCUUCCAGGAAAAGCCUCUAAGCAUCAGGUAACAUCAAAUCGUACCCCAAACCGACACAGGUGGUCAGGUAGAGAAUACCAAGGCGCUUGAGAGAACUCGGGUGAAGGAACUAGGCAAAAUGGUGCCGUAACUUCGGGAGAAGGCACGCUGAUAUGUAGGUGAAGUCCCUCGCGGAUGGAGCUGAAAUCAGUCGAAGAUACCAGCUGGCUGCAACUGUUUAUUAAAAACACAGCACUGUGCAAACACGAAAGUGGACGUAUACGGUGUGACGCCUGCCCGGUGCCGGAAGGUUAAUUGAUGGGGUUAGCGCAAGCGAAGCUCUUGAUCGAAGCCCCGGUAAACGGCGGCCGUAACUAUAACGGUCCUAAGGUAGCGAAAUUCCUUGUCGGGUAAGUUCCGACCUGCACGAAUGGCGUAAUGAUGGCCAGGCUGUCUCCACCCGAGACUCAGUGAAAUUGAACUCGCUGUGAAGAUGCAGUGUACCCGCGGCAAGACGGAAAGACCCCGUGAACCUUUACUAUAGCUUGACACUGAACAUUGAGCCUUGAUGUGUAGGAUAGGUGGGAGGCUUUGAAGUGUGGACGCCAGUCUGCAUGGAGCCGACCUUGAAAUACCACCCUUUAAUGUUUGAUGUUCUAACGUUGACCCGUAAUCCGGGUUGCGGACAGUGUCUGGUGGGUAGUUUGACUGGGGCGGUCUCCUCCUAAAGAGUAACGGAGGAGCACGAAGGUUGGCUAAUCCUGGUCGGACAUCAGGAGGUUAGUGCAAUGGCAUAAGCCAGCUUGACUGCGAGCGUGACGGCGCGAGCAGGUGCGAAAGCAGGUCAUAGUGAUCCGGUGGUUCUGAAUGGAAGGGCCAUCGCUCAACGGAUAAAAGGUACUCCGGGGAUAACAGGCUGAUACCGCCCAAGAGUUCAUAUCGACGGCGGUGUUUGGCACCUCGAUGUCGGCUCAUCACAUCCUGGGGCUGAAGUAGGUCCCAAGGGUAUGGCUGUUCGCCAUUUAAAGUGGUACGCGAGCUGGGUUUAGAACGUCGUGAGACAGUUCGGUCCCUAUCUGCCGUGGGCGCUGGAGAACUGAGGGGGGCUGCUCCUAGUACGAGAGGACCGGAGUGGACGCAUCACUGGUGUUCGGGUUGUCAUGCCAAUGGCACUGCCCGGUAGCUAAAUGCGGAAGAGAUAAGUGCUGAAAGCAUCUAAGCACGAAACUUGCC